GACGAACGCUGGCGGCGUGCUUAACACAUGCAAGUCGUACGGUAAGGCCCUUUCGGGGGUACACGAGUGGCGCACGGGUGAGUAACACGUGAGUAACCUGCCCACAACUUUGGGAUAACGCUAGGAAACUGGUGCUAAUACUGGAUAUGUGCUCCUGCUGCAUGGUGGGGGUUGGAAAGCUCCGGCGGUUGUGGAUGGACUCGCGGCCUAUCAGCUUGUUGGUGGGGUAGUGGCCUACCAAGGCGGCGACGGGUAGCCGGCCUGAGAGGGUGACCGGCCACAUUGGGACUGAGAUACGGCCCAGACUCCUACGGGAGGGAGCAGUGGGGAAUAUUGCACAAUGGGCGCAAGCCUGAUGCAGCAACGCCGCGUGCGGGAUGACGGCCUUCGGGUUGUAAACCGCUUUCAGCAGGGACGAAGCUUUUUGUGACGGUACCUGCAGAAGAAGCACCGGCUAACUACGUG
This 465-nucleotide ribosomal RNA is filed under the name uncultured bacterium. RNAcentral describes it as "partial 16S ribosomal RNA". It matches the Rfam family "Bacterial small subunit ribosomal RNA", at positions 28 to 507 of the family's 1533-position model. The record is from RNAcentral.